AUCCUACGUCGUGGUGAUUUGGCCGGUCGGCUUGCAGCCACGUUAAAGAAAUUGCUAAAGGGCCGCGAACAAGUCCGG
Molecule: non-coding RNA, 78 nt
Filed under: Allomesorhizobium alhagi
Lineage: Bacteria; Pseudomonadati; Pseudomonadota; Alphaproteobacteria; Hyphomicrobiales; Phyllobacteriaceae
Also listed under: 1 other name
Source: RNAcentral